UCCUUGGUCAUUUCUUCCACAGGUUCAGAGGUGGAAAGCAGCUUGAGAAGGUGGCUGUAUUUCCGAAUGUGCACCUAACUGAGCCAUCCUGCUUACCUACCGGGGAGGGGUUGUCUUCUUGCCUCCUCUAGAACUGCCACUGGCUUGACUCCAAUGUAAUCCUUUAUAGUUAUAGGUAGAAGGAAGAAGUGAAGAGAGCCAGCAGCUGAUUUCUGUGGCUUGGAAGUGCCUUUGUGUUCUACUACCUACUGAGUGGGGUGGAAAAGCAGCAUUCAGUGAAGCUGAGACCACAGCUGAGAAGCAACCUGACCUGCCUGACAGUUGGGUAGAGCUCCUCCAGAAAGGAGAAGCAGGACCUUCAUCAGUUUCACGUGAAGCAAUGAGAAUCCACCCCAGUAGACGGGUGAAGCUGCUGGCCGAGGAUAUGACACUGCUGUCACAAGAUAUCCAUGCCAACACUUCACUUCCGAGAGUGGAGAUGACGCUGACCUUCAAGAGUGUCGUGAGAGGCAUUUUCGUCCUCCCAGCUGCAGAGACCUCCCCUCAGAGUUGCUGCUAUUGGGGGUGGGCACAGCAACAGGUUCCCUCUCUUUCCCUGGCCUCAGCUUUCCUCCAGUGCUUGGAUUGGGAGUUAGACAUUCUUCAAUGCAAUCAAGCUAAGAGGCUUCCUCUUAAUAAUUUAUAA
This 685-nucleotide long non-coding RNA is filed under the name Fukomys damarensis (Damara mole-rat). RNAcentral's name for it is "lncRNA (ENSFDAG00000032615.1)". Lineage: Eukaryota; Metazoa; Chordata; Mammalia; Rodentia; Bathyergidae. The record is from RNAcentral.